GACGAACGCUGGCGGCGUGCUUAACACAUGCAAGUCGAACGGUGAAGGGGUCUGCUUUUGUGGGCCCUGGAUGAGUGGCGAACGGGUGAGUAACACGUGAGUAACCUGCCCCCUUCUUCUGGAUAACCGCAUGAAAGUGUGGCUAAUACGGGAUAUUCUGGGUCUGUCGCAUGAUGGGUCUGGGAAAGAUUGCGCCUUUGGGUGUGUGUGGUGGGGGAUGGGCUCGCGGCCUAUCAGCUUGUUGGUGGGGUGAUGGCCUACCAAGGCGGUGACGGGUAGCCGUGCUGAGAGGGUGGACGGUCACACUGGGACUGAGACACGGCCCAGACUCCUACGGCAGGCAGCAGUGGGGAAUAUUGCACAAUGGGCGCAAGCCUGAUGGAGCGACGCCGCGUGAGGGAUGGCGGCCUUCGGGUUGUAAACCUCUUUCGCCAGUGAAGCAGGCCUGUUCCUUGUGGGUGGGUUGACGGUAGCUGGAUAAGAAGCGCCGGCUAACUACGUG
This 502-nucleotide ribosomal RNA is filed under the name uncultured bacterium. RNAcentral's name for it is "partial 16S ribosomal RNA". It matches the Rfam family "Bacterial small subunit ribosomal RNA", at positions 28 to 507 of the family's 1533-position model. The record is from RNAcentral.